RNAcentral lists this ribosomal RNA (841 nucleotides) under uncultured bacterium. RNAcentral describes it as "bacterial SSU rRNA". It matches the Rfam family "Bacterial small subunit ribosomal RNA", at positions 544 to 1386 of the family's 1533-position model. The record is from RNAcentral.
UCCGGAUUUAUUGGGCGNAAAGGGAGCGCAGGCGGUUUAGUAAGUCUGAAGUUAAAGNCAUUGGCUCAACCAAUGUAUGCUUUGGAAACUGUUAGACUUGAGUGCAGAAGGGGAGAGUGGAAUUCCAUGUGUAGCGGUGAAAUGCGUAGAUAUAUGGAGGAACACCGGUGGCGAAAGCGGCUCUCUGGUCUGUCACUGACGCUGAGGCUCGAAAGCGUGGGUAGCGAACAGGAUUAGAUACCCUGGUAGUCCACGCCGUAAACGCUGAGUGCUAGGUGUUAGGUCCUUUCCGGGACUUAGUGCCGACGCUAACGCAUUAAGCACUCCGCCUGGGGAGUACGACCGCAAGGUUGAAACUCAAAGGAAUUGACGGGGGCCCGCACAAGCGGUGGAGCAUGUGGUUUAAUUCGAAGCAACGCGAAGAACCUUACCAGGUCUUGACAUCCCGAUGCCCGCUCUAGAGAUAGAGUUUUUCUUCGGAACAUCGGAGACAGGUGGUGCAUGGUUGUCGUCAGCUCGUGUCGUGAGAUGUUGGGUUAAGUCCCGCAACGAGCGCAACCCUUAUUGUUAGUUGCCAUCAUUAAGUUGGGCACUCUAGCGAGACUGCCGGUAAUAAACCGGAGGAAGGUGGGGAUGACGUCAAAUCAUCAUGCCCCUUAUGACCUGGGCUACACACGUGCUACAAUGGUUGGUACAACGAGUCGCAAGCCGGUGACGGCAAGCUAAUCUCUGAAAGCCAAUCUCAGUUCGGAUUGUAGGCUGCAACUCGCCUACAUGAAGUCGGAAUCGCUAGUAAUCGCGGAUCAGCACGCCGCGGUGAAUACGUUCCCGGGCCUUGUAC